Molecule: long non-coding RNA, 332 nt
Organism: Dalotia coriaria
Lineage: Eukaryota; Metazoa; Arthropoda; Insecta; Coleoptera; Staphylinidae
Exons: 2
Source: RefSeq, a predicted model, not a curated record
GCGCAAGUGUAAUUUCCUGAUCCUGGAUCACUGAAAAUCAAUUCGUUGUUGGACUUGUCUCUCCAACUUGUAUAACUGACUUCUUGGAUUAACUAGAAUUUAAACAAUUAAACAAACAACUGUAAUGUUAAAACUGCUGAAAAUACCACUAGCGACGUGAAUAUUCAAAGAUCUUGCUACAUCCAAACCAACUCGCAUUAAUUGAUAACCUAAACCUAAAAAUAAAUUAAAUUAACUUAUUAUUAUUUUUAGGUUAUGUGUAGUAUAAGGUUAUAAUUACCAUUAUUUCUGAACUCUUUCUUAAUACAAAGAAUAUAAUACCUCAGAAAAGA